AGAGUUUGAUCAUGGCUCAGGACGAACGCUGGCGGCGUGCCUAACACAUGCAAGUCGAACGGACGAGAGGAGCUUGCUCCUCAAGUUAGUGGCGAACGGGUGAGUAACGCGUGAGCAACCUGCCUUUCAGAGGGGGACAACGGUUGGAAACGACCGCUAAUACCGCAUGAUGCAGCUGGGUCGCAUGAUCUGGCUGCCAAAGAUUUAUCGCUGAAAGAUGGGCUCGCGUCUGAUUAGAUAGUUGGUGAGGUAACGGCUCACCAAGGCAACGAUCAGUAGCCGACCUGAGAGGGUGAUCGGCCACAUUGGAACUGAGACACGGUCCAAACUCCUACGGGAGGCAGCAGUGGGGAAUAUUGCACAAUGGGCGAAAGCCUGAUGCAGCAACGCCGCGUGAAGGAUGAAGGUCUUCGGAUCGUAAACUUCUGUCCUUGGGGAAGAAGAAAGUGACGGUACCCAUGGAGGAAGCCCCGGCUAACUACGUGCCAGCAGCCGCGGUAAUACGUAGGGGGCGAGCGUUAUCCGGAAUUAUUGGGCGUAAAGAGUGCGUAGGUGGCUACCUAAGCGAGAGGUUUAAGGCUACGGCUUAACCGUAGUUCGCCUCCCGAACUGGGUGGCUUGAGUGCAGGAGGGGAAAGUGGAAUUCCCAGUGUAGCGGUGAAAUGCGUAGAUAUUGGGAAGAACAUCGGUGGCGAAGGCGACUUGCUGGCCAGUAACUGACGCUGAGGUGCGAAAGCCAGGGUAGCAAACGGGAUUAGAUACCCCGGUAGUCCUGGCCGUAAACGAUGAAUGCUAGGUGUGCGUGCAGAGAUGCASGUGUGCCGUAGUUAACGCGAUAAGCAUUCCGCCUGGGGAGUACGGUCGCAAGAUUGAAACUCAAAGGAAUUGACGGGGGCCCGCACAAGCGGUGGAGCACGUGGUUUAAUUCGAUGCAAACCGAAGAACCUUACCUGGGUUUGACAUGUAGGUGUUAGGAGCUGGAAACAGUGACGAAUCUGCCGCAAGGCAGAUAGCCUACACAGGUGCUGCAUGGCUGUCGUCAGCUCGUGUCGUGAGAUGUUGGGUUAAGUCCCGCAACGAGCGCAACCCCUGCGGCUAGUUGCCAUCAAUACGGUUGGGCACUCUAGCCGGACUGCCAUCGACAAGAUGGAGGAAGGUGGGGACGACGUCAAGUCAUCAUGGCCCUUAUGUCCAGGGCGACACACGUGCUACAAUGGACGGUACAGAGGGAAGCGAGACAGUGAUGUUGAGCGGAUCCCGAAAAGCCGUUCUCAGUUCGGAUUGAAGUCUGCAAUUCGACUUCAUGAAGCUGGAAUCGCUAGUAAUCGCAGAUCAGCCAAGCUGCGGUGAAUCCGUUCCCGGGCCUUGUACACACCGCCCGUCACACCACCCGAGCCGGGUGUACCCGAAGCCGGUGGCCUAACCGAAAGGGAGGAGUCGUCGAAGGUGUGUCUGGUGAGGGGGGUGAAGUCGUAACAAGGUAGCCGUA
This 1489-nucleotide ribosomal RNA is filed under the name uncultured rumen bacterium. RNAcentral describes it as "bacterial SSU rRNA". It matches the Rfam family "Bacterial small subunit ribosomal RNA". The record is from RNAcentral.